AUGGGCAAGACGAGCACCGUGUCGUCGUGGCUGUGCUGCCCGUGCCGGUGCCUCUUCUGCGGCCUGCUGAGCUGCAUCUUCAGCGUCCUCGCCACCAUCCUCGUCAUCGCUGGCGUCGUCGUGCUCGCCCUCUAUCUCCUCUUCCGACCGCACCUCAUCCAAGCUACCGUCGCGUCCGCCGACCUCAACGACUUCACCCUCACGCCGAGCACCUGGAUCCUCCGCUACAACCUCUCUGUCGCGCUCUCCGUCCGCAACCCUAACUCCCGGAUCGCCAUCCACUACCAGUCCGUCGUCGCCGAGGCCUACUACCAGGGCACCCGCGCCGACCUCCCGGACUUCUACCAGGACACCGGCGAGACCACCGUCCUGCCGCUGGCCUUCGCUGGCGAUCACCCGCUCGAGGGCGGGGUCGCCGCCGCGGGGUUCCGCAAGGAGGCCAUCGACCACGCCUCCUUCUCAGUCGACAUCAAGCUCAGCGCCAAGAUGAAGCUCAAGGUGUGGGCCUUCAGGGUGCCGGGGCCAAAGCCCAGGGUUGACUGCCCUCUCAACAUCCACCGACGGAACGCCUCCGCACCCGCCGCCGACGGCCCGCAGGAGUUCCACCCCGUCGAAUGCCGCGUCUGGUUCUGA
This 633-nucleotide ribosomal RNA is filed under the name Triticum aestivum (bread wheat). RNAcentral's name for it is "partial small subunit ribosomal RNA". Lineage: Eukaryota; Viridiplantae; Streptophyta; Magnoliopsida; Poales; Poaceae. The record is from RNAcentral.